CUCGCAGUGGCGCUCUGAAACGUGUGACAUUUACGCAGGGCUGAAAAUGAAAAUUAUCCUUUGCUAUUGUCCGUGUGUUUACCCUUUGCUUUGGUCAGUUUCCAUAGCAAUCCCAACCGUGCAUCUCCUGUGAAUGGAGCAAUUCGGGUGCACACCAAUGAGUCCCUACGAGGCCCCGCUGCCUCCUGCUGUCAGCAGGGACAGCAUCCCCGUGGGAGGAAAGGAUUCACCGAGAGCACUGCUGGACACAGAUGGUUUUCAUGACACCAUGAAGUGGCUUGUGGAACUCCUUGCUAUCAAGGUAUCGAGAACCAGGAAGGGAGGGACCUCUCCUGCUGACUGCAGAGCCUCCUGCCUGCAUCCCUGCUACUGGAAGGAUGGAUGGACAGUGAGCCAAGAGCAAGUAUUGGAGCUGAAAUCCUUUUGUAACUCUGUAAGAGGACAGUGUUUCAAAGUAAGACCUAGAAAGCAUGCUUGUUUGCGGAAGAUGUCCUCACAACCUUCAUGGUACAUACCAAGAACUUCAAAAAUUGACAGAAAAUGAAGUGAAAAGGAAAAACGAUACUUUUCUGUACCU
Molecule: long non-coding RNA, 577 nt
Filed under: Gallus gallus (chicken)
Lineage: Eukaryota; Metazoa; Chordata; Aves; Galliformes; Phasianidae
Description: lncRNA (ENSGALG00010010269.1)
Source: RNAcentral